UGGAGGCAGCAGUGGGGAAUAUUGGACAAUGGGGGCAACCCUGAUCCAGCAAUGCCGCGUGAGUGAUGAAGGCCUUAGGGUUGUAAAGCUCUUUCGGCGGGGACGAUGAUGACGGUACCCGCAGAAGAAGCCCCGGCUAACUUCGUGCCAGCAGCCGCGGUAAUACGAAGGGGGCGAGCGUUGUUCGGAAUUACUGGGCGUAAAGGGCGCGCAGGCGGCUCUGAAAGUCAGAUGUGAAAGCCCCGGGCUUAACCUGGGAACUGCAUUUGAUACUCUGGAGCUUGAGUACGGGAGAGGAGAGUGGAAUUCCCAGUGUAGAGGUGAAAUUCGUAGAUAUUGGGAAGAACACCGGUGGCGAAGGCGGCUCUCUGGACCGUAACUGACGCUGAGGCGCGAAAGCGUGGGGAGCAAACAGGAUUAGAUACCCCGGUAGC
This 434-nucleotide ribosomal RNA is filed under the name uncultured bacterium. RNAcentral describes it as "bacterial SSU rRNA". It matches the Rfam family "Bacterial small subunit ribosomal RNA", at positions 343 to 794 of the family's 1533-position model. The record is from RNAcentral.